Anolis carolinensis (green anole) is the source of this 1722-nucleotide long non-coding RNA. The record is from Ensembl. Lineage: Eukaryota; Metazoa; Chordata; Lepidosauria; Squamata; Anolidae.
CGAUUUGCCUCUUGAAUGGCUGUGGUUGGACGGCGGAGGAGGCAGGGAGGGAGGGAGGGAGGCAGGGAGGGGGGAGAGGAGGGGAUCAGGCGACACAAAUGCCAAGCCCGGCUUCCAGCGUCUCUCAUUUGCUCUGUGGAAACUGAGGAAUGCAAUUCUGCCACCAUGAUGGAAGGACUGAAAAAACGUACAAGGAAGGCCUUUGGAAUACGGAAGAAAGAAAAGGACAAUGAUUCCACGUAAGUUUGUAGAGAAAAAGGAGAAGGGAGUCACUCCUGAAGAACAGAAAUAAAAGUCAGUAUACAUUAAAAGUACUCUUUGGCAUGUACAGUAAAAAAAAUCAGCAAAGAAACAGUAGUUAAAGUAGGUAAUUUAAGAACCUCAUGGUGUUUUGAAGUGAGGACAGUCCUUUAGGUAGCAGAUACUGUAUAAGUACACAAUCAAUAUAACUCCUCUUAAUAUCCUCCUCCCAUAUCCUUGUUGCCAUCCUUACAUGCUUUACAAUGCUUCUGAUUUUAUAAUAUGUUGAAGAAGGAGACAGGUUUUCUCUUGUUCUGAGCUCUGAUUAAAUUGAAAUAAAUAAAUACUCAGAAUGUGUAAUGUUAAAACUUUUAAUGACUAAAGUAAGAUAGAAUUUGCUUUUGUGGGUGUAACUCCUCACUUAUUUGAAAGAAUCACAUUUUUGUUGUAGGAAAGGAUAUUUAGAACAAGGGUUCUUAACCUUUUAUGUUCCAUGGACACUUUGCCAGUCAGGUGAAACCACCGACCCCUUCUCUGAAUGUAGUAGCAGAUAGUUUUAGGACACUCUACAUCAGCAUGUCUUUAAAUUAAAUUUUAGGAUUCUUCAAAAUUGCAUUUAAUAGAGACAAUACAUAGGGUUGUUUUUUUGUUUUGUUUUUUAAAUGAACCUCACGGACUCCCCUGAAAUCUUUCCACAAACCCCUUAGAGACCCCUGGCUAAGAACCCUUGAUUUAGAAUAACAGAAUGACUAUGAAAUAAUUAGUACACCUUUUUGUUAGAAAAGUGGAUGAGGCCUUCCAGGUCCUCCUGGGGUUAAAUGCAUUACAGGAACACUGACCAAAAAUAUUAUGACAUGAGGCUUUAAAAAGAUUGCAAUGCUAUCUUGGGUUUCAGCAGUAUUAUUGUUAUUAUUUGAUACACAACAAGAUUAGUACACAGCAAACGAGAUCAAUAUGUUGUAUUGGAUCAUGUGUCGGACGCUUCCCAAGUAUCUAGGACUAUGUAAUGUAUCGGCAAAUAAUGUGUGCAGAUCCAAGUAGAGUGGCCUUUUCCAGCUGACAGGCCGGGCUGUGGCGCAGGCUGGUUAGCAGCCAGCUGCAACAAAUCACUCUGACUAAGAGUUCAUGAGUUCGAGGCCAGCCCGUGCCUGCGUCUGUCUCUGUUCUAUGUUAUGGCAUUGAAUGUUUGCCUUAUAUGUGUGCAAUGUGAUCUGCCCUGUGUCCCCUUUAGGGUGAGAUGGGCAGAAUAUAAAUACUGUAAAAUAAAUAAUUUUUUCAGUGCCAAUUGUUUUUAAGUGCUGGUCAAGGUCUUUAGGCGUGUUGUUGUUGUUGUUGUUGUUGUUGUUGUUAUUAUUAUUAUUAUUAUUAUUAUUAUUAUUAUUAUUAUUAUACCCCACUUUAUCUCUCCUGCAGGAGACUCAAAGCAGCUUAACAUAAAUGCAUCAACAUACAACAUACAUAUAUGCAAACAAUAAUACAGGG